CGGGGCGUCGUAUACUGGCAGUACGCAUGGUUUGGGACCAUGUAGACUGGGUUCGAUUCCCAGCGCCCCGACAA
RNAcentral lists this transfer RNA (74 nucleotides) under Candidatus Andersenbacteria bacterium RIFCSPHIGHO2_12_FULL_45_11b. RNAcentral's name for it is "tRNA-Pro". It matches the Rfam family "tRNA". From Rfam's summary of the family: Transfer RNA (tRNA) molecules are approximately 80 nucleotides in length. Their secondary structure includes four short double-helical elements and three loops (D, anti-codon, and T loops). Lineage: Bacteria; Candidatus Anderseniibacteriota. The record is from RNAcentral.